CAGGUAAAGUCAUGUUGAGGUUCCUCAGAUCCAUCUUGUUCUAAGUUCUUGGAUGAUCGAAGGACUGAUCCAACCGGAUUGCAGGAUGAGACCUUGAUGGGCCAAGCAUCAUCUGUUGACGUCUCGACAAAGGAGAACCUGCUUGAGCUGGUGAAGAUCGGUGAAAGUCUUCUGAAGAAACCAGUCUCCAGGGUCAACCUUGAGACAGGAGACUUCGAGGAGGUCAAGGGAGAAGGAACCAACGCCGAAGCACUCACUCGCUUGGCUAAGAUACUCUCCGAGGAGAGGCACCGUCGGAAAGGCGUAAUGGCCUUAAACUGAGCGAAUAAUGGCUGGAAUACUUCCGUCUCUCUUUCUCUACAUCGAUCUCUAUCUCUA
RNAcentral lists this long non-coding RNA (378 nucleotides) under Musa acuminata (dwarf banana). RNAcentral describes it as "long non-coding RNA (MACU_LNC002999)". Lineage: Eukaryota; Viridiplantae; Streptophyta; Magnoliopsida; Zingiberales; Musaceae. The record is from RNAcentral.